AUGCAGUCGAACGCUGCUUAAGAAGAACUUCGGUUUUUUCUUAAGCGGAGUGGCGGACGGGUGAGUAACACGUGGGGAACCUAUCCAUCAGCGGGGGAUAACACUUGGAAACAGGUGCUAAUACCGCAUACGGCUUUUUUUCACCUGAAAGAAAGCUCAAAGGCGCUUUACAGCGUCACUGAUGGCUGGUCCCGCGGUGCAUUAGCCAGUUGGUGAGGUAACGGCUCACCAAAGCAACGAUGCAUAGCCGACCUGAGAGGGUGAUCGGCCACACUGGGACUGAGACACGGCCCAGACUCCUACGGGAGGCAGCAGUAGGGAAUCUUCGGCAAUGGACGCAAGUCUGACCGAGCAACGCCGCGUGAGUGAAGAAGGUUUUCGGAUCGUAAAGCUCUGUUGUCAGCAAAGAACAGGAGAAAGAGGCAAUGCUUUUUCUAUGACGGUAGCUGACCAGAAAGCCACGGCUAACUACGUGCCAGCAGCCGCGGUAAUACGUAGGUGGCAAGCGUUGUCCGGAUUUAUUGGGCGUAAAGCGAGCGCAGGCGGUGAUUUAAGUCUGAUGUGAAAGCCCCCAGCUCAACUGGGGAGGGUCAUUGGAAACUGGAUCACUUGAGUGCAGAAGAGGAGAGUGGAAUUCCAUGUGUAGCGGUGAAAUGCGUAGAUAUAUGGAGGAACACCAGUGGCGAAGGCGGCUCUCUGGUCUGUAACUGACGCUGAGCUCGAAAGCGUGGGUAGCAAACAGGAUUAGAUACCCUGGAGUCCACGCCGUAAACGAUGAGUGCUAAGUGUUGGAGGGUUUCCGCCCUUCAGUGCUGCAGUUAACGCAUUAAGCACUCCGCUGGGGAGUACGACGC
Molecule: ribosomal RNA, 854 nt
Filed under: Tetragenococcus halophilus
Lineage: Bacteria; Bacillati; Bacillota; Bacilli; Lactobacillales; Enterococcaceae
Description: bacterial SSU rRNA
Rfam family: Bacterial small subunit ribosomal RNA
Source: RNAcentral